This 513-nucleotide ribosomal RNA is filed under the name uncultured bacterium. Its description in RNAcentral is "bacterial SSU rRNA". It matches the Rfam family "Bacterial small subunit ribosomal RNA", at positions 8 to 507 of the family's 1533-position model. The record is from RNAcentral.
AGAGUUUGAUCCUGGCUCAGGAUGAACGCUAGCUACAGGCUUAACACAUGCAAGUCGAGGGGAAACGAUAGAGAAAGCUUGCUUUUUCUAGGCGUCGACCGGCGCACGGGUGAGUAACGCGUAUCCAACCUGCCCACCACUUGGGGAUAACCUUGCGAAAGUAAGACUAAUACCCAAUGAUAUCUCUAGAAGACAUUCUGAAAGGGAUUAAAGAUUCAUCGGUGAUGGAUGGGGAUGCGUCUGAUUAGCUUGUUGGCGGGGUAACGGCCCACCAAGGCGACGAUCAGUAGGGGUUCUGAGAGGAAGGUCCCCCACAUUGGAACUGAGACACGGUCCAAACUCCUACGGGAGGCAGCAGUGAGGAAUAUUGGUCAAUGGGCGAGAGCCUGAACCAGCCAAGUAGCGUGCAGGAUGACGGCCCUAUGGGUUGUAAACUGCUUUUAUAAGGGAAUAAAGUGAGAGUCGUGACUCUUUUUGCAUGUACCUUAUGAAUAAGGACCGGCUAAUUCCGUG